RNAcentral lists this ribosomal RNA (441 nucleotides) under uncultured bacterium. Its description in RNAcentral is "partial 16S ribosomal RNA". It matches the Rfam family "Bacterial small subunit ribosomal RNA", at positions 28 to 507 of the family's 1533-position model. The record is from RNAcentral.
GAUGAACGCUGGCGGCGUGCCUAAUACAUGCAAGUCGAACGGGGAGUAGCAAUACUCUUAGUGGCGAACGGGUGAGUAACGCGUUGGUACCUGCCCCGAAGCGGGGGAUAACGGACCGAAAGGUCCGCUAAUACCCCAUGUGCUCGGUAACGAGUAAAGGUGAAAACCACUUUGGGAGGGGCCUGCGUCCCAUCAGCUAGUUGGUAAGGUAACGGCUUACCAAGGCGAUGACGGGUAGGGGACCUGAGAGGGUGGCCCCCCACAAUGGAGCUGAAACACGGUCCAUACACCUACGGGUAGCAGCAGUAGGGAAUAUUGGUAAUGGGCGCAAGCCUGAACCAGCAACGCCGCGUGUGCGAUGACGGCCUUCGGGUUGUAAAGCACUUUUGACUGGGACGAGGAAGGACGGUACCGGUCGAAUCAGCCUCGGCUAACUACGUG